AAGGAUUUAAGAUAAUCAGACUAAAGACCUUCAAAGCCUUAAGUAGAAGUUUAAACCUUCUAAUCCUUGUA
Molecule: transfer RNA, 71 nt
Filed under: Ambystoma mexicanum (axolotl)
Lineage: Eukaryota; Metazoa; Chordata; Amphibia; Caudata; Ambystomatidae
Description: tRNA-Trp
Rfam family: tRNA
About the family: Transfer RNA (tRNA) molecules are approximately 80 nucleotides in length.
Source: RNAcentral